This 530-nucleotide ribosomal RNA is filed under the name uncultured marine bacterium. RNAcentral describes it as "bacterial SSU rRNA". It matches the Rfam family "Bacterial small subunit ribosomal RNA", at positions 873 to 1401 of the family's 1533-position model. The record is from RNAcentral.
CUGGGGAGUACGGUCGCAAGAUUAAACUCAAAGGAAUAGACGGGGACCCGCACAAGUGGUGGAGCAUGUGGUUUAAUUCGAAAAUACGCGAAGAACCUUACCUAGCCUUGACAUUGAUUGAAUACUUUAGAGAUAGAGUAGUGGCCUUCGGGGAACAUGAAAACAGGUGCUGCACGGCUGUCGUCAGCUCGUGUCGUGAGAUGUUGGGUUAAGUCCCGCAACGAGCGCAACCCUCGUCCUUAGUUGCCAGCAGGUUAAGCUGGGCACUUUAAGGAGACUGCCUUCGCAAGGAGGAGGAAGGUGAGGACGACGUCAAGUCAUCAUGGCCCUUAUGGCUAGGGCUACACACGUGCUACAAUGGGGCAUACAGAGAGUUGCGAUACCGCGAGGUGGAGCCAAUCUCAUAAAGCGUCCCUCAGUUCGGAUUGAAGUCUGCAACUCGACUUCAUGAAGCUGGAAUCACUAGUAAUCGUAGAUCAGCAAUGCUACGGUGAAUACGUUCCCGGGUCUUGUACUCACCGCCCGUCACA